Molecule: ribosomal RNA, 1523 nt
Filed under: Salmonella enterica
Lineage: Bacteria; Pseudomonadati; Pseudomonadota; Gammaproteobacteria; Enterobacterales; Enterobacteriaceae
Description: bacterial LSU rRNA
Rfam family: Bacterial large subunit ribosomal RNA
Source: RNAcentral
GCGGGUGAAAAGCCCGCUCGCCGGAAGACCAAGGGUUCCUGUCCAACGUUAAUCGGGGCAGGGUGAGUCGACCCCUAAGGCGAGGCCGAAAGGCGUAGUCGAUGGGAAACGGGUUAAUAUUCCCGUACUUGGUGUUACUGCGAAGGGGGGACGGAGAAGGCUAUGUUGGCCGGGCGACGGUUGUCCCGGUUUAAGCGUGUAGGUGUGUGUUCCAGGUAAAUCCGGUUCACUUUAACACUGAGGCGUGAUGACGAGGCACUACGGUGCUGAAGCAACAAAUGCCCUGCUUCCAGGAAAAGCCUCUAAGCAUCAGGUAACAUCAAAUCGUACCCCAAACCGACACAGGUGGUCAGGUAGAGAAUACCAAGGCGCUUGAGAGAACUCGGGUGAAGGAACUAGGCAAAAUGGUGCCGUAACUUCGGGAGAAGGCACGCUGACACGUAGGUGAAGUGAUUUACUCACGGAGCUGAAGUCAGUCGAAGAUACCAGCUGGCUGCAACUGUUUAUUAAAAACACAGCACUGUGCAAACACGAAAGUGGACGUAUACGGUGUGACGCCUGCCCGGUGCCGGAAGGUUAAUUGAUGGGGUCAGCGCAAGCGAAGCUCCUGAUCGAAGCCCCGGUAAACGGCGGCCGUAACUAUAACGGUCCUAAGGUAGCGAAAUUCCUUGUCGGGUAAGUUCCGACCUGCACGAAUGGCGUAAUGAUGGCCAGGCUGUCUCCACCCGAGACUCAGUGAAAUUGAACUCGCUGUGAAGAUGCAGUGUACCCGCGGCAAGACGGAAAGACCCCGUGAACCUUUACUAUAGCUUGACACUGAACAUUGAGCCUUGAUGUGUAGGAUAGGUGGGAGGCUUUGAAGUGUGGACGCCAGUCUGCAUGGAGCCGACCUUGAAAUACCACCCUUUAAUGUUUGAUGUUCUAACGUGGACCCGUGAUCCGGGUUGCGGACAGUGUCUGGUGGGUAGUUUGACUGGGGCGGUCUCCUCCUAAAGAGUAACGGAGGAGCACGAAGGUUGGCUAAUCCUGGUCGGACAUCAGGAGGUUAGUGCAAUGGCAUAAGCCAGCUUGACUGCGAGCGUGACGGCGCGAGCAGGUGCGAAAGCAGGUCAUAGUGAUCCGGUGGUUCUGAAUGGAAGGGCCAUCGCUCAACGGAUAAAAGGUACUCCGGGGAUAACAGGCUGAUACCGCCCAAGAGUUCAUAUCGACGGCGGUGUUUGGCACCUCGAUGUCGGCUCAUCACAUCCUGGGGCUGAAGUAGGUCCCAAGGGUAUGGCUGUUCGCCAUUUAAAGUGGUACGCGAGCUGGGUUUAGAACGUCGUGAGACAGUUCGGUCCCUAUCUGCCGUGGGCGCUGGAGAACUGAGGGGGGCUGCUCCUAGUACGAGAGGACCGGAGUGGACGCAUCACUGGUGUUCGGGUUGUCAUGCCAAUGGCACUGCCCGGUAGCUAAAUGCGGAAGAGAUAAGUGCUGAAAGCAUCUAAGCACGAAACUUGCCCCGAGAUGAGUUCUCCCUGAGACUU